GAUAUGAGCCAAGGUUAUGAACCCGGAGGACAUCAGCCCUCCUGAUAACGUCCUGCCGUGUUGCGCGUCCUUGGCCGAGCCGGGAGCGGCGCAAUGACCUCCGCUGAGGUUGUGCGGCCAUAACGAAGGCGGGAAUGGUUUUGCUCGUGUGGGGACAUGCUUCACACAGUUCAACCAAAGAGAAGUAGGAAGAAGCAGAGCUCAGACCACACAUACAUACACAAUAAAGACCUUCUUGUGGCGGAAGUGUCUUCUUGAGUGUCCCUGAAUGCAUCUCGCACUUGUCUUGUGACAAUGAGGAAGUGUCAUUCCGGGGCUGAACAGACUGGAGACGUGUUUGUAAAUCGGAGAUACAUAUAUGGUGUUGGAAUUACACUGCUGUUCAUGAGUUCAGACAAACGCUGUGGAUCCUGCACCGACCCCUCACACUCCAGCUGUCCUACCCAGUCAUUGAGGCGUGGACUGACAAAGCCUGCUCGGAUGAGACAUAAGAGGGAGAGCUGUUUUGCCUUUGCCAUCAAGAGAUCAUGACUGUGGGAAUACUUGACACUAAAUCACAGUCAGUCCACAUUUUUGCCAACAUUUUGCCUUUUAAAGGCUGCACGCUUCAACUUUUGAUGAACAGCUUAUUUUCACUUUAAUGUUUCUUUGCAAUAAAUUGCUUUGUUG
This is a long non-coding RNA of Dunckerocampus dactyliophorus (ringed pipefish), 669 nucleotides long. RefSeq lists it as uncharacterized. The transcript has 3 exons. The record is from RefSeq and is a predicted model, not a curated record. NCBI's taxonomy places the organism in Eukaryota, Metazoa, Chordata, Actinopteri, Syngnathiformes, Syngnathidae.